Coturnix japonica (Japanese quail) is the source of this 383-nucleotide non-coding RNA. Lineage: Eukaryota; Metazoa; Chordata; Aves; Galliformes; Phasianidae. The record is from RefSeq and is a predicted model, not a curated record.
CCCUCCUCCCGGCAUUGUCCCGCGGCCGCCGUCGGGCUCUUAAGCCCGGCCGACCCGGGGCACGGCCGCAGCAGCUCGUCCGCGGCCCUCGCCCCAUGGUGCUGGCUGGAAGGAGCUGUGCAGGAGCACUGCAGAGAACAGACUUUCCAGGAAUGUUUCUGCAUGGAAAGCCAACACGUCUGCCUGGCUGGACUGAGGGAAGGAGCAAUACUGAUUUGAUUGGUGAAGUCAGUGUGAGGCUUCGCAUUGAUUCCAGUGGGUGCCGACCUUUGUGGUCUGAGACAGCAGCCUCAGCAUUGAGUUUGCACGUCAUACAAUGGGACCCUUGUCUACAUCGAAGCCAGAAAAUGCUAUUGCAUCCUAAAUAAAUUCAGUUGAAACCA